GGUAGCUCAGUAGUAGAGUGCUUGCCUUGCAUGCAGGAGGCCCUGGGUUCGAUUCCCCAGUACCA
RNAcentral lists this transfer RNA (65 nucleotides) under Dipodomys ordii (Ord's kangaroo rat). It matches the Rfam family "tRNA". Rfam says of the family: Transfer RNA (tRNA) molecules are approximately 80 nucleotides in length. Lineage: Eukaryota; Metazoa; Chordata; Mammalia; Rodentia; Heteromyidae. The record is from Rfam by way of RNAcentral.